GCCGAGAUGGUGAAAUUGGCAAACACGCAGCGUUCAGGGCGCUGUGGGCUUACGCCCUUGGGGGUUCAACUCCCCCUCUCGGCACCA
RNAcentral lists this transfer RNA (87 nucleotides) under Candidatus Omnitrophota bacterium. Its description in RNAcentral is "Candidatus Omnitrophica bacterium tRNA-Leu". It matches the Rfam family "tRNA". From Rfam's summary of the family: Transfer RNA (tRNA) molecules are approximately 80 nucleotides in length. The record is from RNAcentral. Lineage: Bacteria; Pseudomonadati; Candidatus Omnitrophota.